UACGUAGGGUGCAAGCGUUAAUCGGAAUUACUGGGCGUAAAGGGUGCGCAGGCGGUGUUGUAAGUCUGACGUGAAAUCCCCGGGCUCAACCUGGGAAUUGCGUUGGAGACUGCAAGGCUAGAAUCUGGCAGAGGGGGGUAGAAUUCCACGUGUAGCAGUGAAAUGCGUAGAGAUGUGGAGGAACACCGAUGGCGAAGGCAGCCCCCUGGGUCAAGAUUGACGCUCAUGCAAGAAAGCGUGGGGAGCAAACAGG
RNAcentral lists this ribosomal RNA (253 nucleotides) under uncultured bacterium. RNAcentral describes it as "partial 16S ribosomal RNA". It matches the Rfam family "Bacterial small subunit ribosomal RNA", at positions 524 to 776 of the family's 1533-position model. The record is from RNAcentral.